AGCAGCCGCGGUAAUUCCAGCUCCAAUAGCGUAUAUUAAAGUUGUUGCAGUUAAAAAGCUCGCAGUUGAAUUUCGGGGUCAGUAGGUUGGUCAUGCCUCCGGUAUGUACUGGUCUCACUGAUUCCUCCUUCCUGAUGAGCCGUAAUGCCAUUAAUUUGGUGUUGCGGGGAAUCUGGACUGUUACUUUGAAAAAUUAGAGUGUUUAAAGCAAGCUAACGCUUGAAUACAUUAGCAUGGAAUAAUGGAAUAGGACGUUCGAUCCUAUUUUGUUGGUUUCUAGGAUUGACGUAAUGAUUAAUAGGGAUAGUUGGGGCAUUAGUAUUCAAUUGUCAGAGGUGAAAUUCUUAGGAUUUA
This 354-nucleotide ribosomal RNA is filed under the name uncultured Glomeromycotina. Its description in RNAcentral is "SSU rRNA". It matches the Rfam family "Eukaryotic small subunit ribosomal RNA", at positions 569 to 928 of the family's 1831-position model. Lineage: Eukaryota; Fungi; Glomeromycota. The record is from RNAcentral.